This 254-nucleotide ribosomal RNA is filed under the name uncultured bacterium. RNAcentral's name for it is "partial 16S ribosomal RNA". It matches the Rfam family "Bacterial small subunit ribosomal RNA", at positions 524 to 776 of the family's 1533-position model. The record is from RNAcentral.
UACGAGGGGGGGCGAGCGUUGUUCGGAAUUAUUGGGCGUAAAGGGUGCGUAGGCGGCCUGACAAGUCUGAUGUGAAAUCCCUGGGCUCAACCCAGGGCCUGCAUCGGAAACUGUCGGGCUUGAGUAUGGGAGAGGUGAGUGGAAUUUCCGGUGUAGCGGUGAAAUGCGUAGAUAUCGGAAGGAACACCUGUGGCGAAAGCGGCUCACUGGACCAUUACUGACGCUGAGGCACGAAAGCCAGGGGAGCAAACAGG